GGGAAUAGUGGACAAUGGGCGCAAGCCUGAUCCAGCCAUGCCGCGUGAGUGAUGAAGGCCCUAGGGUUGUAAAGCUCUUUUGUGCGGGAAGAUAAUGACGGUACCGCAAGAAUAAGCCCCGGCUAACUUCGUGCCAGCAGCCGCGGUAAUACGAAGGGGGCUAGCGUUGCUCGGAAUCACUGGGCGUAAAGGGUGCGUAGGCGGGUCUUUAAGUCAGGGGUGAAAUCCUGGAGCUCAACUCCAGAACUGCCUUUGAUACUGAAGAUCUUGAGUUCGGGAGAGGUGAGUGGAACUGCGAGUGUAGAGGUGAAAUUCGUAGAUAUUCGCAAGAACACCAGUGGCGAAGGCGGCUCACUGGCCCGAUACUGACGCUGAGGCACGAAAGCGUGGGGAGCAAACAGG
This 402-nucleotide ribosomal RNA is filed under the name uncultured bacterium. RNAcentral describes it as "bacterial SSU rRNA". It matches the Rfam family "Bacterial small subunit ribosomal RNA", at positions 357 to 776 of the family's 1533-position model. The record is from RNAcentral.